AAAAAGUUCAUUAGGGUUUUUCUGUGAGAUGGGAUGGAAAAAACCGAGUGGACUUUUUG
Molecule: microRNA precursor, 59 nt
Organism: Bos grunniens (domestic yak)
Lineage: Eukaryota; Metazoa; Chordata; Mammalia; Artiodactyla; Bovidae
Source: Ensembl